This 212-nucleotide ribosomal RNA is filed under the name Pleosporales sp. RNAcentral's name for it is "partial large subunit ribosomal RNA". The record is from RNAcentral. Lineage: Eukaryota; Fungi; Ascomycota; Dothideomycetes; Pleosporales.
AAGCGCUUGCAACCAGACUUGCACGCUGUUGAUCAUCCAGGCUUCUGUUUGGUGCACUCAACUGUGUUCAGGCCAGCAUCAGUCCGGGCGGUUGGAGAAAGACCUGUGUCAUGUAGCUGUUUUCGGGCAGUGUUAUAGGGCAGGUGGAAUGCAACCAGCCUGGACUGAGGUCCGCGCAUCUGCUAGGAUGCUGGCGUAAUGGCUGUAAGCGG